CCGCCGCAACAUCUACCUCCAAAACCAAACCUUUGUCAAAAUUCCUCUUCCACUGCCAUCUCUGAAUUUGAUCCCGUAUGCCUCCCCAUGACCUCCGCCAUCACCACCGCCCACACGGUGGUGCUCCGCCGCAACAUCUACCUCCAAAACCAAAUCAAGAAGUCCUUUCCAUGAUCCUCAAAGUUAUUAUAAUGACUGCCAUAACCGCCCUUUUCUUUUUGUUCCUUGGAGUCGCAGCCAUCCUUCUCCUUC
This 252-nucleotide unclassified non-coding RNA is filed under the name Hevea brasiliensis (rubber tree). The record is from RNAcentral. Lineage: Eukaryota; Viridiplantae; Streptophyta; Magnoliopsida; Malpighiales; Euphorbiaceae.